This 28-nucleotide non-coding RNA is filed under the name Homo sapiens (human). Lineage: Eukaryota; Metazoa; Chordata; Mammalia; Primates; Hominidae. The record is from RNAcentral.
UGCUGUGCACUCUCUCCUCCCUCAACGU